AUCGCUUCUCGCCUUUUGGCUAAGAUCAAGUGUAGUAUCUGUUCUUAUCAGUUAAUAUCUGAUACGUCCCCCAUCGGGGGACUAUACAUAUUAAUGGAUUUUUCGAACAGGGAGUCGGAAGCGGGGCUUGCUCCGUCCCUCCACGCAUCGACUCGGUAUUGCAGUACCUCCGAGAACGUGCACCCUCU
RNAcentral lists this small nuclear RNA (188 nucleotides) under Esox lucius (northern pike). RNAcentral's name for it is "U2 spliceosomal RNA". It matches the Rfam family "U2 spliceosomal RNA". From Rfam's summary of the family: U2 is a small nuclear RNA (snRNA) component of the spliceosome (involved in pre-mRNA splicing). Complementary binding between U2 snRNA (in an area lying towards the 5' end but 3' to hairpin I) and the branchpoint sequence (BPS) of the intron results the bulging out of an unpaired adenosine, on the BPS, which initiates a nucleophilic attack at the intronic 5' splice site, thus starting the first of two transesterification reactions that mediate splicing. Lineage: Eukaryota; Metazoa; Chordata; Actinopteri; Esociformes; Esocidae. The record is from Rfam by way of RNAcentral.